This 1564-nucleotide ribosomal RNA is filed under the name human gut metagenome. Its description in RNAcentral is "bacterial LSU rRNA". It matches the Rfam family "Bacterial large subunit ribosomal RNA", at positions 1362 to 2925 of the family's 2925-position model. The record is from RNAcentral.
AGGCUAAUCCCCCCAGGGUCAGUCGGGAGCUAAGGCGAGGCCGACAGGCGUAGCCGAUGCACAACAGGCGGACAUUCCUGUACCACCGCGGAGCGUUACUACGACGGGGUGACGGAGAAGGGUAGCCGGGCGGGGUUCUGGACGUCCCCGUGAAAGCGCGUAGGCCGCAGGGCAGGCAAAUCCGCCCUGCAGCGAGGCCGAGACGUUAGACGAAGCUUCAUGUGAAGCCGGCGAGCCCAUGCUUCCGAGAAAAACCUCUAAGGAGCGAGGCGGUGCCCGUACCAAAACCGACACAGGUAGGCGGGUAGAGCAUACCAAGGCGAUCGGGAGAACCAUGGUUAAGGAACUCGGCAUACUGACUCCGUAACUUCGGGAGAAGGAGUGCCCCCGCCUGUGAGGUCCCACGCGGACGGAGCGGGAGGGGGUCGCAGCGAAACGGCCCAAGCGACUGUUUACCAAAAACACAGGACUCUGCAAAGCCGCAAGGCGACGUAUAGGGUCUGACGCCUGCCCGGUGCUGGAAGGUUACGCGGAUGAGUUAGCGCAAGCGAAGCCCUGAAGCCAAGCCCCAGUAAACGGCGGCCGUAACUAUAACGGUCCUAAGGUAGCGAAAUUCCUUGUCGGGUAAGUUCCGACCUGCACGAAUGGCGUAACGACUUGGGCGCUGUCUCAACCAUGGACCCGGUGAAAUUGUAUUAUUCGUGAAGAUGCGAAUUACCUGCGGAAGGACGGAAAGACCCCGUGAACCUUUACUGCAGCUUGGCAUUGGCUGUUGGUGCGGUGCGUAGAGGAUAGGCAGGAGCCUGCGAACCGGGAACGCCAGUUCCCGGGGAGGCGCCCUUGGAAUACUGCCCUCACCGCAUCGGCAGCCUAACGCGCCGCCCUCAUCGGGGGCGCGGACCGUGCCAGGUGGGUAGUUUGACUGGGGCGGUCGCCUCCUAAACUGUAACGGAGGCGUGCGAAGGUUCGCUCAGGGCGGUUGGCAAUCGCCCGCAGAGCACAAGAGUACAAGCGAGCCUGACUGCGAGACCAACAAGUCGAGCAGAGACGAAAGUCGGUUCUAGUGAUCCGGCGGCCCAGCGUGGAAUGGCCGUCGCUCAACGGAUAAAAGGUACUCCGGGGAUAACAGGCUGAUCUUGCCCAAGAGUCCACAUCGACGGCAAGGUUUGGCACCUCGAUGUCGGCUCAUCGCAUCCUGGGGCUGUAGCAGGUCCCAAGGGUACGGCUGUUCGCCGUUUAAAGCGGUACGCGAGCUGGGUUCAGAACGUCGUGAGACAGUUCGGUCCCUAUCCUCCGUGGGCGCAAGAGAAUUGAGAGGAUCUGUCCCUAGUACGAGAGGACCGGGAUGGACGCACCUCUGGUGCCGCAGUUGUCGACCAACGGCACAGCUGCCUAGCUACGUGCGGAACGGAUAACCGCUGAAAGCAUCUAAGCGGGAAGCCGGCCUCGAGAUGAGUUCUCUCUUCGGUAAGGCCACUUGUAGACCACAAGUUCGAUAGGCCGCAGCUGCAAGCCCCGCGAGGGGCUCAGGCGAGCGGUACUAAUCGGCCGAGCUCUUCAUCUC